AGAGUUUGAUCAUGGCUCAGGAUGAACGCUAGCUACAGGCUUAACACAUGCAAGUCGAGGGGAAACGAUAUUGAAAGCUUGCUUUCGAUAGGCGUCGACCGGCGCACGGGUGAGUAACGCGUAUCCAACCUGCCCAUAACUAAGGGAUAAUCCGUAGAAAUGCGGUCUAAUACCUUAUGUGAUCCGAGGAAGACAUCUGAUUUGGAUUAAAGAUUUAUCGGUUAUGGAUGGGGAUGCGUCUGAUUAGAUUGUUGGCGGGGCAACGGCCCACCAAGUCUGCGAUCAGUAGGGGUUCUGAGAGGAAGGUCCCCCACAUUGGAACUGAGACACGGUCCAAACUCCUACGGGAGGCAGCAGUGGGGAAUAUUGGGCAAUGGGCGAAAGCCUGACCCAGCAACGCCGCGUGAAGGAAGAAGGUCUUCGGAUUGUAAACUUCUUUUAUGAGGGACGAAGGACGUGACGGUACCUCAUGAAUAAGCCACGGCUAACUACGUGCCAGCAGCCGCGGUAAUACGGAAGGUCCAGGCGUUAUCCGGAUUUAUUGGGUUUAAAGGGAGCGCAGGCGGCCCGUUAAGCGUGACGUGAAAUGUAGUUGCUCAACAUCUGCACUGCGUCGCGAACUGGUGGGCUUGAGUUCACGGUAGGAAGGCGGAAUUCGUGGUGUAGCGGUGAAAUGCUUAGAUAUCACGAAGAACCCCGAUUGCGAAGGCAGCGUACCAGGCCGUAACUGACGCUAAUGCUCGAAGGUGCGGGUAUCGAACAGGAUUAGAUACCCUGGUAGUCCGCACGGUAAACGAUGGAUGCCCGCUGUAUGCGAUAGACAGUAUGCGGCCAAGCGAAAGCGUUAAGCAUCCCACCUGGGGAGUACGCCGGCAACGGUGAAACUCAAAGGAAUUGACGGGGGCCCGCACAAGCGGAGGAACAUGUGGUUUAAUUCGAUGAUACGCGAGGAACCUUACCCGGGCUUGAACUGCACAGGAAGGAUACAGAGAUGUUGACGCCCUUCGGGGCCUGUGUGGAGGUGCUGCAUGGUUGUCGUCAGCUCGUGCCGUGAGGUGUCGGCUUAAGUGCCAUAACGAGCGCAACCCUUCUCUUCAGUUGCCAUCAGGUAGAGCUGGGCACUCUGGAGACACUGCCACCGUAAGGUGUGAGGAAGGUGGGGAUGACGUCAAAUCAGCACGGCCCUUACGUCCGGGGCUACACACGUGUUACAAUGGCGCGUACAGAGGGCAGGUGCCGGGCAAUCGGCAUCGAAUCCUUAAAACGCGUCUCAGUUCGGACUGGGGUCUGCAACCCGACCCCACGAAGCUGGAUUCGCUAGUAAUCGCGCAUCAGCCAUGGCGCGGUGAAUACGUUCCCGGGCCUUGUACACACCGCCCGUCAAGCCAUGAAAGCCGGGGGCGCCUGAAGUCCGUGACCGCGAGGGUCGGCCUAGGGUGAAACCGGUGAUUGGGGCUAAGUCGUAACAAGGUAACCGUAA
RNAcentral lists this ribosomal RNA (1480 nucleotides) under uncultured bacterium. RNAcentral's name for it is "bacterial SSU rRNA". It matches the Rfam family "Bacterial small subunit ribosomal RNA". The record is from RNAcentral.